UACGUAGGUGGCGAGCGUUGUCCGGAUUUACUGGGCGUAAAGAGCGCGCAGGCGGUCGUAUAAGUCGAAUGUGAAAGCCCCUGGCUCAACUAGGGAGAGUCAUUCGAUACUGCUCGACUCGAAGGCAGGAGAGGGAAGUGGAAUUCCGGGUGUAGUGGUGAAAUGCGUAGAUAUCAGGAAGAACACCGGUGGCGAAAGCGCUCUGCUAGGCCGCAACUGACACUGAGGGACGAAAGCUAGGGGAGCGAAUGGG
Molecule: ribosomal RNA, 253 nt
Filed under: uncultured bacterium
Lineage: Bacteria
Description: partial 16S ribosomal RNA
Rfam family: Bacterial small subunit ribosomal RNA
Source: RNAcentral